UGCCAGCAGCCGCGGUAAGACGGAGGGUCCUAGCGUUGUUCGGAAUGACUGGGCGUAAAGCGCGCGUAGGCGGCUAUUUAAGUCAGAUGUGAAAGUCCACGGCUCAACCGUGGAAGUGCAUUUGAAACUGGAUAGCUUGAGUAUUGGAGGGGGUAGAGGAAUUCCCGGUGUAGAGGUGAAAUUCGUAGAUAUCGGGAGGAAUACCGGUGGCGAAGGCGACUACCUGGCCAAAUACUGACGCUGAGGUGCGAAAGCGUGGGGAGCAAACAGGAUUAGAUA
This 279-nucleotide ribosomal RNA is filed under the name uncultured bacterium. RNAcentral describes it as "partial 16S ribosomal RNA". It matches the Rfam family "Bacterial small subunit ribosomal RNA", at positions 506 to 784 of the family's 1533-position model. The record is from RNAcentral.